GACGAACGCUGGCGGCGUGCUUAACACAUGCAAGUCGAACGGAAAGGCCCUGCUUUUGUGGGGUGCUCGAGUGGCGAACGGGUGAGUAGCACGUGAGUAACCUGCCCUUGACUUUGGGAUAACUUCAGGAAACUGGGGCUAAUACCGGAUAGGAGCUCCUGCUGCAUGGUGGGGGUUGGAAAGUUUCGGCGGUUGGGGAUGGACUCGCGGCUUAUCAGCUUGUUGGUUGGGUAGUGGCUGACCAAGGCUUUGACGGGUAGCCGGCCUGAGAGGGUGACCGGCCACAUUGGGACUGAGAUACGGACCAGACUCCUACGGGAGGCAGCAGUGGGGAAUAUUGCACAAUGGGCGGAAGCCUGAUGCAGCAACGCCGCGUGCGGGAUGACGGCCUUCGGGUUGUAAACCGCUUUCGCCUGUGACGAAGCGUGAGUGACGGUAAUGGGUAAAGAAGCACCGGCUAACUACGUG
This 468-nucleotide ribosomal RNA is filed under the name uncultured bacterium. RNAcentral describes it as "partial 16S ribosomal RNA". It matches the Rfam family "Bacterial small subunit ribosomal RNA", at positions 28 to 507 of the family's 1533-position model. The record is from RNAcentral.